GAGAGUAUAGAGAGGUAACCAAGUAGGAGUUUUCCAUAACUCCGGCGAAAUUCUUGAUGGCUUUCAACGGAUCCUUUCUCGAUAUAUUCAUUGUCAUUCUCGUGGACGACGGUGCAUGAUCCGUAUGAUUGAGUGCUGCAGAUAUAAAUCCAGUUGGAAGUAUCAGCAAGCAGGAGCUUCGAAUGUUUUUGCAAUAGGCUGCUAUCCAUCUUGGUUUCUCAUCAUUUACAGAAGUUGAAGCUGCUCCUCCCACUGCUGAAUUGGAACCUAUACGAUCCAACUACAGCCAGGUUAUAUUGAUGGACAUGUUGGAAUCCACGAGAAAAGAUUCGAAAAGGACCAAAAAGGAAGAAAAACGAAAGUCUAGGGACUAAAGUGCAAUUAUCAAAAAUAUGACCCGAGGGAGAAAUCGAGGAUUUGAUUGAGCCAAGUGUCAAUUGGAGGCCACUAUUGAUGUAUGGAAUGAAAAAAAAAACGAAGGAACGAGAUCAAAAUUG
Molecule: long non-coding RNA, 497 nt
Organism: Olea europaea var. sylvestris
Lineage: Eukaryota; Viridiplantae; Streptophyta; Magnoliopsida; Lamiales; Oleaceae
Exons: 3
Source: RefSeq, a predicted model, not a curated record